UCGAACGGUAACAUAAGAAAAGCUUGCUUUUCUUGAUGACGAGUGGCGGACGGGUGAGUAAGAUUUGGGAAACUACCUGAUAGAGGGGGACAACAGUUGGAAACGACUGCUAAUACCGCAUACAGCCUUAGGGUGAAAGAAGAAAUUCGCUAUCAGAUGUGCCCAAACGGGAUUAGCUAGUAGGUGAGGUAAAGGCUCACCUAGGCGACGAUCUCUAGCUGGUCUGAGAGGAUGAUCAGCCACAUUGGGACUGAGACACGGCCCAGACUCC
This 271-nucleotide ribosomal RNA is filed under the name uncultured Succinivibrio sp. RNAcentral's name for it is "partial 16S ribosomal RNA". It matches the Rfam family "Bacterial small subunit ribosomal RNA", at positions 62 to 339 of the family's 1533-position model. The record is from RNAcentral. Lineage: Bacteria; Pseudomonadati; Pseudomonadota; Gammaproteobacteria; Aeromonadales; Succinivibrionaceae.